Molecule: long non-coding RNA, 437 nt
Organism: Arabidopsis thaliana (thale cress)
Lineage: Eukaryota; Viridiplantae; Streptophyta; Magnoliopsida; Brassicales; Brassicaceae
Product: other RNA
Exons: 1
Source: RefSeq
AAACUCAAUGUUUCCAGAAUCAAAGAAACAAGCUUCGGAGGAACAAGAGAAGGCGUCCCACCACCGAAAAACACCGUUUCUAGAUUCGGGUUCGUAUCAAAAUCCGUCCUUGUCGCUUUUAUCUCUCUAACAAGCAAAUUCACAUAGUUCGUGAUUCUCGGGUCAUCUUCUUUUCCUUCCUCGUAGACAUUAGACGGUCUGGCUGAAGAAGAAGACAUGCCUAGAGCUAAGAUAGGAAAGUCACAAUAAUGACAGCGUUUGCGACAAAACGGAAGAUGAACGUAGGCUGAGGUUGGUGGACCUUUGUGUAACGUAGUAAGAUUGGUUGACGCAUUUCGUCGAGCACUUGGUGGAGUAUCUUGUAGAACAACCUUACUAAAAGCUCGAAAAAACAACUUCGAUGAGCACUUGGGUUUACCUGUAAACGAUGAGAAAAU